UGCAACACGUACAGAUGCAACAACAGUUGGACAGUGGGCCUGUGGAAUGAGUUGGGCUGCAUUUCUUUUGUGUUUUCUCAUUCGUAACCUGUCUCUGACCUGGAAUCUGGCAUUACACCCACCAUUGUUGCAUGCGGGUUCUUCUGGCUGAUCUCCCUGCAUGCCUGCUGGGUGUGCAGUACAUGGCAGGGGAUGUGGCUAGGCUAAUCCCACCUGGGUGGAGAGGCUUGGAGAAGCCUGCAUCAUCAUGAAUCUAGCAGAACUCUCUGUCUUAACACAAAUAUUGUGGCUCCAGCUAUUUCCAGUAGUGCUUGCUUCCACAGUGCAUGCUCUUGAAACUAUUGACUGCCUUAAGGUGCUGCUGAGUGCUGGAUGGAGGGAAAAAUAUCACAUACACUUCUCUUGAGCUGUAGUCAGAUGCAGGAGGAACGUGAAAAGGUACUUCAUGCAUUGGCUGUAGUUGUGCAAUAGUUGUCAAGAGAGUGGUUUUGGAAUCAGAAAGCCUGAAUUUCACUCAGUUCCAGUCUAAAGCUCAAAGUGUGCAUCUCACACCUGUGGAGAAAAAGAGGAAGACACCAGGAGGGUUAUAGAAAUAUGAGAGAUGAGCACAUGUGCUUGGGACAAGUCAACUCACUAAACCCGGAACAGGUCCCAGCAUGGUUUCUACUUGUGUGCCUACAUGAUCAUCAUCAACUUCCAUGGCACCACAAAGUCCCAAAGUAUUUAAGAACAGAAAAUCCACAGAAGAUACAUUUUCUUGGAUUCUGUGCAACAUUAAAUACCCUUUCUAGCAUCCUGGAGAACAUCCUGUCAAUGCUUGCUUUCAGUGCUUGAGUCCACCAGCUCUUCCUGAGUACUGACUGAGUGCAGCACCACUAAGGACUGUACCAGAUCAUUCCCAGUGUGUAAGGCAGACAGUGUAAGAAGCCCAUACAAGCAUACCUGGAAAUGAAGACAUUGGCCAUACACAGGUUUCUCUUGGGCAUCAAACAUUGUGCAGCAGUCAACAUUUGCAAGUACAAGGCUCGAGGUCCACAAACAGGACAUUAAACUCUUCUUCUUUUUAAAAGUUAA
Gallus gallus (chicken) is the source of this 1074-nucleotide long non-coding RNA. RefSeq lists it as uncharacterized. The transcript is spliced from 2 exons. Lineage: Eukaryota; Metazoa; Chordata; Aves; Galliformes; Phasianidae. The record is from RefSeq and is a predicted model, not a curated record.